This 522-nucleotide long non-coding RNA is filed under the name Rattus norvegicus (Norway rat). Its description in RNAcentral is "long non-coding RNA NONRATT000655". The record is from RNAcentral. Lineage: Eukaryota; Metazoa; Chordata; Mammalia; Rodentia; Muridae.
AUCAUUCCCCCUCUCCCCUCAGGGGGCCAGGGACUCUGCUAAAACUGUGUCCUGCCCCGUCUCCCCAAGCCUGACUGAGGUCCCCAGGUGGACCGGAUGCAGGCCAGACAAUGGCACCUCGCAAGAGGUGGGCAGCUGACACAAGACUGCAAGUGGAGUAGAUGGGGGAUUAGAAAAAAAUGACAAAGGGGUACUGAAGAAAGAGGGAAAAAGGCUGACUAGGGGUGGGGGAACAGACAGAGCCAUAGUGGGUCAGUCCAGAGCCUGACCUGAUGGGGUCCUGGGAAGGUGUGCCCUCCGAUUCCAUCAUUUGCGCCUCUCAAAUAACCCUUUUCACCUCUCUAGGCCCCUCAGCCUUCCCACUCUCCUUGGCUCACUCAGCUGCCCAGCCCCCUGCCUCUUGCACGCCUGUUCCCCUCCCUGGCUGCAGUUUUUGCACAAGCUUGCCCCCUGGCUGUCUUGCACACCUCCGGCCUGUAAGGCCCUCUCAGCUUCCCAACACGCUGCAUUCGGUUUUUUGUU